GACGAACGCUGGCGGCGUGCUUAACACAUGCAAGUCGAACGAUGAAGCCUAGCUUGCUAGGUGGAUUAGUGGCGAACGGGUGAGUAAUACGUGAGUAACCUACCUUUAACUCUGGGAUAAGCCUGGGAAACUGGGUCUAAUACCGGAUACGACCAAUCUCCGCAUGGGGUGUUGGUGGAAAGCGUUAUGUAGUGGUUAUAGAUGGGCUCACGGCCUAUCAGCUUGUUGGUGAGGUAACGGCUCACCAAGACGACGACGGGUAGCCGGCCUGAGAGGGUGACCGGCCACACUGGGACUGAGACACGGCCCAGACUCCUACGGGAGGCAGCAGUGGGGAAUAUUGCACAAUGGGCGCAAGCCUGAUGCAGCGACGCCGCGUGAGGGAUGACGGCCUUCGGGUUGUAAACCUCUGUUAGCAGGGAAGAAGAGAAAUUGACGGUACCUGCAGAGAAAGCGCCGGCUAACUACGUG
This 471-nucleotide ribosomal RNA is filed under the name uncultured bacterium. RNAcentral's name for it is "partial 16S ribosomal RNA". It matches the Rfam family "Bacterial small subunit ribosomal RNA", at positions 28 to 507 of the family's 1533-position model. The record is from RNAcentral.